GACGAACGCUGGCGGCGUGCUUAAUACAUGCAAGUCGAACGGAAAGGCCCUGCUUUUGUGGGGUGCUCGAGUGGCGAACGGGUGAGUAACACGUGAGUAACCUGCCCUUGACUUUGGGAUAACUUCAGGAAAUUGGGGCUAAUACCGGAUAGGAGCUCCUGCUGCAUGGUGGGGGUUGGAAAGCUUCGGCGGUUGGGGAUGGACUCGCGGCUUAUCAGCUUGUUGGCGGGGUAGUGGCUUACCACGGCUUUGACGGGUAGCCGGCCUGAGAGGGUGACCGGCCACAUUGGGACUUGAAUACGGCCCGGACUCCUACGGGAGGCAGCAGUGGGGAAUAUUGCACAAUGAACGGAAGCCUGAUGAAGCAACGCCGCGUGCGGGAUGGCUGCCUUCGGGUUGUAAGCCGCUUUCGCCUGUGACGAAGCGUGAGUGGCGGUAAUGGGUAAAGAAGCACCGGCUAACUACGUG
RNAcentral lists this ribosomal RNA (468 nucleotides) under uncultured bacterium. Its description in RNAcentral is "partial 16S ribosomal RNA". It matches the Rfam family "Bacterial small subunit ribosomal RNA", at positions 28 to 507 of the family's 1533-position model. The record is from RNAcentral.